AGAGUUUGAUUCUGGCUCAGAACGAACGCUGGCAGCGUGGAUUAGGCAUGCAAGUCGAACGGGAAGCCUCGCAUUCAAUCUUCGGAGAGAACGUGAGGUGGAGAGUGGCGGAAGGGUGAGUAACGCGUGAGCAAUCUGCCUCUAAGCUCGGGACAACCAGCCGAAAGGCUGGCUAAUACCGGAUGUGGUACUUUGUCGCAUGACGAACUACUAAAGGUGGGGAUCCUUCGGGACCUGCCGCUUGGAGAGGAGCUCGCGUCCCAUCAGCUUGUUGGUAGGGUAAUGGCCUACCAAGGCUUACGGGUAGCCGGCCUGAGAGGGUGAUCGGCCACACUGGGACUGAGACACUGCCCAGACUCCUACGGGAGGCUGCAGUCGAGGAUCAUUGUCAAUGCGCGAAAGCGUGAACAUGCGACGCUGCGUGGAGGAUGACGGCCCUAGGGUUGUGAACUCCUGUCAUGAGGGACAAGCCGGCGGGCCGUUAAUAACGGUCCGCCCCGAUGGUACCUCAAGAGGAAGCCACGGCUAACUCUGUGCCAGCAGCCGCGGUAAUACAGAGGUGGCGAGCGUUGUUCGGAUUUACUGGGCGUAAAGGGUGCGUAGGUGGUUUCGUGUGUCGGAUGUGAAAUCCCGGGGCCUAACCCCGGAACUGCAUUCGAAACUGCGGGACUAGAGUCUAGGAGGGGAGAGCGGAAUUCUUGGUGUAGCGGUGAAAUGCGUUGAUAUCAAGAAGAACACCGGUGGCGAAGGCGGCUCUCUGGAAUAGUACUGACACUGAUGCACGAAAGCUGGGGGAGCAAACAGGAUUAGAUACCCUGGUAGUCCCAGCCGUAAACGGUGUGCACUUGGUGUUGGCGGAUUUGACCCCGCCAGUGCCGGAGCUAACGCAUUAAGUGCACCGCCUGGGGAGUACGGCCGCAAGGUUAAAACUCAAAGAAAUUGACGGGGGCCCGCACAAGCGGAGGAGCAUGUGGCUUAAUUCGAUGCAACGCGAAGAACCUUACCUGGGUUUGACAUCCGAGGGGCUUGCCCCUAAUACGUGAAAGCGUACUAACGAGACAGGUGCUGCAUGGCUGUCGUCAGUUCGUGCCGUGAGGUGUUGGGUUAAGUCCCGCAACGAACGCAACCCUUGUGUUUAGUUGCCACCCCCGAGCAAUCGGGGCGCACUCUAGACAGACUGCCCGUACAAGCGGGAGGAAGGUGGGGAUGACGUCAAGUCCGUAUGGCCCUUACAUCCAGGGCUGCACACGUGCUUCAAUGGUCGGUACAGAGGGCCGCAAUACCGCGAGGUGGAGCAAAUCCCUUAAAACCGGCCUCAGUUCGGAUUGGAGUCUGCAACUCGACUCCAUGAAGUCGGAUUCGCUAGUAACGGCGUAUCAGCUACGACGCCGUGAAUACGUUCCCGGGCCUUGUACACACCGCCCGUCACAUCAUGAAAGCCGUCCGCACCCGAAGUCACUGAGCCAACCUUUUACGAGGAGGCAGGUGCCGGAGGUGUGGGUGGUGAUUGGGAUGAAGUCGAAACAAGGUA
RNAcentral lists this ribosomal RNA (1531 nucleotides) under metagenome. Its description in RNAcentral is "bacterial SSU rRNA". It matches the Rfam family "Bacterial small subunit ribosomal RNA". The record is from RNAcentral.